This 256-nucleotide ribosomal RNA is filed under the name uncultured prokaryote. RNAcentral describes it as "partial 16S ribosomal RNA". It matches the Rfam family "Bacterial small subunit ribosomal RNA", at positions 521 to 776 of the family's 1533-position model. The record is from RNAcentral.
UAAGACGAACUGUCCUAACGUUGUUCGGAAUCACUGGGCUUAAAGGGCGCGUAGGCGGUCCGACAAGUCAGGGGUGAAAUCCUGCAGCUUAACUGCAGAAGUGCCUUUGAUACUGUCGGUCUUGAGGGAGAUAGGGGUGUGCGGAACUCACAGUGGAGCGGUGAAAUGCGUUGAUAUUGUGAGGAACGCCGGAGGCGAAAGCGGCGCACUGGAUCUCUUCUGACGCUGAGGCGCGAAAGCUAGGGGAGCAAACGGG